RNAcentral lists this unclassified non-coding RNA (509 nucleotides) under Hevea brasiliensis (rubber tree). Lineage: Eukaryota; Viridiplantae; Streptophyta; Magnoliopsida; Malpighiales; Euphorbiaceae. The record is from RNAcentral.
UCUCUCUCUCUCUCUCUCUCUUAGCGUGUGUGUUUUUCCUGCUCAUUUAACAACUAAGGAUGUUAGGCUGCUAGCAAUGAUUCAUUUCUUUGUUAUAAGUUAAUGAUAUGUCCAAUCUAUACCAAGGGCACAGAAUCAAUCAACUUAAAUCAGUGACAAUACUUGUUGAUGAAUUUUUUUUGCCUAAACUCAUUGAUGAAACUAACUCAAGGUUUCCUUUUAUGAGAAAAGAGUUGCUUAAUUAAAGCAACCAGGACAAUCAUGGCAUUCUAAAAUGGAAAACAAUAAAUUAGGUUUUGGUGAAUACAGUAAUUGUACAUGUAUUAAUUGGCAAAUUUCAAAUUUGGUUGAGACUGCAUUUACUGGAAGCUGAUAGGACUUGACUUCUUGUUUUGUGCUUGUUUGAUUUAAAAUGAUCCUUAAUGGAUUGUGACAUUGUGUUUGGAUUAGGUUAGAUCAAUUCCUCAAAAUUUAUUUUUCUUUGCAGGAGCUGGUGAAGAAAUAUUCUG